AAGUCGUAACAAGGUUUCCGUAGGUGAACCUGCGGAAGGAUCAUUAAAAACUUUUAUUCGAGAAUUCGUUUCGUUUUCCCGGAUUAUUUGUAUUCAAAUCCCACUCUUUAUAAAUAUAUCAAUUAUAUAAAACAAAAAUAAAAAAGAAAACUUUCAACAACGGAUCUCUUGGCUCUC
This 177-nucleotide unclassified non-coding RNA is filed under the name Diversispora sp. RNAcentral describes it as "partial internal transcribed spacer region". The stretch from base 1 to 46 matches the Rfam family "Eukaryotic small subunit ribosomal RNA", at positions 1786 to 1831 of the family's 1831-position model. RNAcentral also lists the same sequence under 2 other names. Lineage: Eukaryota; Fungi; Glomeromycota; Glomeromycetes; Diversisporales; Diversisporaceae. The record is from RNAcentral.